CUGUCUCUGCAUUGCCUGCCUGUUGCCUUUUACUUUCAAAGCUGGUGGUACAGGUAAACACUUCAAAGAUUGAGGAAGAGGAUGCACUUGAGCUCCCCUCAAAGCACUUUAGAGAGGAAGUACAACUGAUCCAUCAAUGACAUUCUCUAGACAGCAAAUGCUGGUGGAAGCCAGAAUGCUUAGUGUAAGGACUCCUUUGCUGGGUGGAGAGGAAGUCUGCAAUAAACUACUGGUGGUCUCCCCACUUUCCUGGUUGCACAGUGGGACUUCUCCCACUGCUGCUAAUGCCCUAGAUGGUCUCCCUGCAGG
This is a long non-coding RNA of Dryobates pubescens (Downy woodpecker), 309 nucleotides long. RefSeq lists it as uncharacterized. The record is from RefSeq and is a predicted model, not a curated record. Lineage: Eukaryota; Metazoa; Chordata; Aves; Piciformes; Picidae. The transcript is spliced from 3 exons.